AGAUUGAACGCUGGCGGCAGGCCUGACACAUGCAAGUCGAGCGGUAGAGAGGUGCUUGCAUCUCUUGAGAGCGGCGGACGGGUGAGUAAUGCCUAGGAAUCUGCCUAGUGGUGGGGGAUAACGUUCGGAAACGGGCGCUAAUACCGCAUACGUCCUACGGGAGAAAGCGGGGGACCUUCGGGCCUCGCGCCAUUAGAUGAGCCUAGGUCGGAUUAGCUAGUUGGUGAGGUAAUGGCUCACCAAGGCGACGAUCCGUAACUGGUCUGAGAGGAUGAUCAGUCACACUGGAACUGAGACACGGUCCAGACUCCUACGGGAGGCAGCAGUGGGGAAUAUUGGACAAUGGGCGAAAGCCUGAUCCAGCCAUGCCGCGUGUGUGAAGAAGGUCUUCGGAUUGUAAAGCAACUUUAAGUGGAGGAAGGUUGUAACCUAAUACGUUGCAACUUUGACGUUACCGACAGAAUAAGCAACCGCUAACUUCGUGCCAGCAGCCG
Molecule: ribosomal RNA, 494 nt
Filed under: uncultured soil bacterium
Lineage: Bacteria
Description: bacterial SSU rRNA
Rfam family: Bacterial small subunit ribosomal RNA
Source: RNAcentral